Astatotilapia calliptera (eastern happy) is the source of this 1034-nucleotide long non-coding RNA. The record is from Ensembl. Lineage: Eukaryota; Metazoa; Chordata; Actinopteri; Cichliformes; Cichlidae.
GCAACCCCAACCCUACUCAAGUAAAUUUAAAUAAAUGUUAUUUUAUGUGCCAUGCCCAUUGCUCAGUUCAUCAUUGGUAAGCACAGAUGCACUCAUUGUUAGAAAGAUGUAGACACUGUUGUGGAAAUUUUAACAAUACCUUGCAACAGACCCAGUGAGCAUUUUGAAGUGGGUUUAAUAAACACAUUACAACGUGGAGAGAGACAUCCCAGUCAAUCACUAGGAUGAUCACUGCCCAUGGCCACCGCCCUCACACUUUUUAGGUCUGUGCUGUUGCAAUCAUUUAAGUCAGAUGUUGUAUUCAGCUUCUAGACAGCGCUACAGAAGAGGAGUGAGCAUAGCUUGAUCGGCCCACCAGGAUGGUGAUUUUUCGUUUUUAUGGACCGAUGGGUUUUGUUUUGUUUGUUUUUUUCCGUUUUUUUUCCCGUGACGGUAUAAUCAGAAUCAGAAUACUUUAUUGAUCCCUGGGGGGAAUUAUUUUUUUUGUUACAGUGCUCCAUUAUAAACCAACAUAAACCAACAUCAAGACAAGACAGACAAUACGCUAACUAAGAAUAGUACAAUAUAUACAUAAAUAUAUAUAAGUCACUCAUUAAUAAAUAGCUGGAAAAGAAACAUGUGUAGUUGUAGCAGUAACCAGUGUGUUAAGUGGAUGCGUUGUACAGGGAGAUGGCCACAGGCAGGAAUGAUUUCCUGUGUCGUUCAGUGGUGCUUUUCGGUAAUCUCAGUCUCUCACUGAACGAGCUCCUGUGACUGAACAGCAUGUCAUGUGGGAGGUGUUAUCCAACAUUGUCUUUAUCUUGGACACUGAUAAACACUGAAAGGUGGUGGAUUGGCCAGAUGCUGGGAGAUGUGUAAAAAUAACUGUUGUUUGGUGGUGGCUAUUGCGGAGCUUCCACAGAUUCAGUAACAUUAGCAAGUGGUGGAGGCCAGUAGAUGCAACACGCUGGCAGGUGGAUGAUGGAAAGGCAGGAGGAGCAGAGACCCGAGGCGGUGAGAAGGUAAGAAGUUAUGACCUGCAGUCUAUCUGGGUC